UUUGCUAGCAUCGGACGGAAGUAGUGAGACAGCGUGCUUGCUGUCAGGAAAAAACGCGUGUGUGCCGUGAAUUGGGCAUAAAGAACCCUCGAGUGGAAAAAUAAAAAGAGCUCGCGAUCCGCAAAAGAGCGUCAGAACUGGUAACGAGUGGAUCCACACUGCACACAUCACUUUCCUUUUCCGAGGUCCACCAACGGCCGAGCAAAGACCGACGCCGAUCCGAUAGGAGAAUCCAAAAAGAAACCCUCCGCCACACCCGGAACGAUUGCCAUCGGGGAAAAUCCCAUGCAAAAAGGGGUCUACAAAGGCCCCUUUUUUUCUUUCUACCCCAGUUUCAUCACCACACGUCUCAUCCGGCGAUUGACUUCCGGCGGAGAGAACCUCCGAAGGAAAAGAACGGCAAAAGGGCCAAGGUGGUGGCCAAAACUGGCUACCAGCAGAAACGACGGUGGAAUCGUCCACAGGGCGAAUUGGCAGCUUCGCAGCAGGCAGUUGGCUGUACCAGUGGCAGCACAAGGGUGGCCACCAGCCACAUAUCAUCUUCAGUUUCGUCCCCACUGCACCGGCAAUUGCAUCAUCGGUAAGCGGUCCUAUUUGUGAUCGUUUCGCUGCUUCAGCAGCACAAUUUAAGGCGGUUUCGGCAGGAAAAUCGCCACCUGCGGCGCCAGCUUCACGUUUUCGAUCCCAUCGUCGAUCGAAUCAAUUGGGACAUCGGUCCCCGAGGUGCUCGCAAUCCGCUGCGUCCGCAGCAGCAUCGGUCGAGGUGAUUGGUGUCGUCGGUUUAAAGCAGCUCCAGCAGGAAUUUUCUCACCACAUCAGCAUCCACUGUGCCUUUUCGGUUCGACCAUCAUUUCGUGGCUCAUGUGCUACCGGUCGGUUACUACGUCAGCAGGAUUUUCCAUGCCGCACUGUCAGCUGUGGCAUCCGUGGCCUGGUCGGCCGCACAAAUUCAACGGAAGCGUAAACCGCGCUCACUCAACAGGUCAGCUAGCCGCAACGACGGUGGUGCCCAGACGCAUCAGCUCCAGCAGCACAAGCUGCUUUCCAGUUUGCACCACAGCAUCAGCAUUUGCGUUGGCCAGCGAAUCCAUCAGCAGCGCAGGCUGCUAUCCAUCUGUGGCAUCGGCCACUUGGGCAGAACGAAGACGGCAGCAGAUCCGAAACUAGCACCGAAGGCGGCGAAGGAAAGUUUGCCCACAUCAGGACAGAGGAUGAAGCGGAACCGUGGCCACACAGUGCGCUGCAGCGCUUUCAUGGAGGAUGCCGUAAGUGACAAAUAAUAUCUGAUCGCAAUGUAAUAGGGGAAUGUGGGGUAAAAUGUUGUCAAAAUUAUAAAGCAAACUAAAAUUUAAAA
Uranotaenia lowii is the source of this 1354-nucleotide long non-coding RNA. RefSeq lists it as uncharacterized. NCBI's taxonomy places the organism in Eukaryota, Metazoa, Arthropoda, Insecta, Diptera, Culicidae. The record is from RefSeq and is a predicted model, not a curated record. The transcript is spliced from 4 exons.